Molecule: unclassified non-coding RNA, 350 nt
Filed under: soil metagenome
Description: partial contains 5.8S ribosomal RNA, internal transcribed spacer 2, and large subunit ribosomal RNA
Rfam family: 5.8S ribosomal RNA (bases 1-120)
Source: RNAcentral
GAUGAAGAACGUAGUGAAAUGCGAUAAGUAGUGUGAAUUGCAGAAUUCAGUGAAUCAUCGAAUCUUUGAACGCACAUUGCGCCCGCCAGUAUUCUGGCGGGCAUGCCUGUUCGAGCGUCAUUUCAACCCUCAAGCCCAGCUUGGUGUUGGGGAUCGGCACAGGCGCCCUCGGGCGCCCGCCGUCCCCUAAAUCUAGUGGCGGUCCCGCUGCAGCCUCCUCUGCGUAGUAGUUUUCUCCUCGCAAGGGCAGCUCGGUGGCGACCUCGCCGUAAAACCCCCAACUUCUGAAAGGUUGACCUCGAAUCAGGUAGGAAUACCCGCUGAACUUAAGCAUAUCAAUAAGCGGAGGA